AUGCCCUCAUUACCAGCUUCUGAUGGGUUUCAAAAUCCAGUCCAGUCUUCAGGACUAAAUUCCAAGAUCUCUAAUCCCACAAAUCAGUUACUUGAUCGUUCUGUCUCUGCCCCUGCUUCAAUUUGCUCAUCCGAAUCCAGCCUUGCAGAGCCCAUUGAUCCUAGAGCUGUCAAGACUUCUGACUCUUCACCUGAACACCAGAUAACCCCAGAAAAAGAACAUGCUCUGGUAUUACAGCAUCAUUCCAAUAGCUCUUCCUUGGCAAAUAAUGACCCCUCUCUGCACAGCGGAGAUGGAACCUGCUCCAAUCCAGCUUGCCUUUCACAGAAGACACUCAAAGAAACAUUUAGUGCUGACAUUUUAAAGGAAUGUAAUGCUAAAGAACAAGAUCAUGGUCAGGAACAUCCUCUGGAAGUGACAAAAGUCUAUUUGGAUGACACUGCUGCCAAGCACAGGCAGGAUAAAGAUGUCUAUCUGUCUUCAAAGCAGGAGCAAAAACAUGAGCUUCCCACAGACCAUCGGAUGUGCAAAGAGCUAGAAAAGGAACAUCUUGAGGAGCAAACUGAGAAAACUGACCCAGAACCUCCUUGCUGUGUUGGUGGGGUUGAGAAACCUGCUGUGGCUGAAGCCAAACAGCCAGAAAAUCCUCCCAUGGAAAUGAGAGAUGAACUGGAGAGAGCAGGUCUUUCCUGUGUGAAAGGGAGUAUCCAACUGUCAGCCUCCUGUAGCCAUGUGCACAUGGAAGCCAUCAUGGAAAUAGAUGCAGUGGAGCAGGCUGCAGCUGAAGCUCAGAGCUCAGCAAGGCAGCAGAGGCAGCAGACUGAGAACAGACAAAUUUCCAGCCUGAACUCGGAGGCCCUCUCCAUGGAGGUGGAGUUGCUCAAGUCUCCGUCCUCCUUGAGUGAUGUCCUGCAGUCUAAAAGCACUAGUGAGAUUCCUGCAGAGUACCACGAGUUGGCUAAUUUUGGCAGCAGACAGCUCUUCCCCCUCCAGCACCCAAGAGCUGGACACGGAUGCAGGAAGACCUUCAGAAGAGCCAUGUUUCCCUCUAGCAUCAGCCUUGAAAGAGCUUCACAAACUCUUGGUUAUCAGUCGGAAAGGAGAAUGCAAGAUCCUUGCCUCAGAAGAAGUCUCCCAGCUGGAAACGGUUCAGAGAGAGCCAGCAGUGCAGCAGAAGGGACUUCCUGA
This 1188-nucleotide long non-coding RNA is filed under the name Camarhynchus parvulus. RNAcentral's name for it is "lncRNA (ENSCPVG00000018329.1)". The record is from RNAcentral. Lineage: Eukaryota; Metazoa; Chordata; Aves; Passeriformes; Thraupidae.